RNAcentral lists this ribosomal RNA (882 nucleotides) under uncultured bacterium. Its description in RNAcentral is "bacterial SSU rRNA". It matches the Rfam family "Bacterial small subunit ribosomal RNA", at positions 94 to 989 of the family's 1533-position model. The record is from RNAcentral.
AGCGGCGGACGGGUGAGUAACGCGUGGGCAAUCUGCCCUAAAGACCGGGAUAACAUUCCGAAAGGGAUGCUAAUACCGGGUGUGAUCUCUUCCUCGCAUGAGGAGAAGAAGAUAGGAGAAAUCCGCUUUAGGAUGAGCCCGCGUCCCAUUAGCUAGUUGGUAGGGUAAUGGCUUACCAAGGCGACGAUGGGUAGCCGACCUGAGAGGGUGACCGGCCACACUGGGACUGAGACACGGCCCAGACUCCUACGGGAGGCAGCAGUCGGGAAUAUUGGGCAAUGGGGGAAACCCUGACCCAGCAACGCCGCGUGAGUGAUGAAGGCCUUCGGGUCGUAAAGCUCUGUCCUUGGGGACGAAGAAAUGACGGUACCCAAGAAGAAAGCCACGGCUAACUACGUGCCAGCAGCCGCGGUAAUACGUAGGUGGCGAGCGUUGUCCGGAAUUACUGGGCGUAAAGGGCGAGUAGGCGGUUUUACAAGUCAGAUGUGAAAUGCAUGGGCUCAACCCAUGAACUGCAUUUGAAACUGUAAGACUUGAGUGCGGUAGAGGAAAGUGGAAUUCCCAGUGUAGCGGUGAAAUGCGUAGAUAUUGGGAGGAACACCAGUGGCGAAGGCGACUUUCUGGGCCGUAACUGACGCUGAGGCGCGAAAGCGUGGGGAGCAAACAGGAUUAGAUACCCUGGUAGUCCACGCCGUAAACGAUGGAUGCUAGGUGUGGGAGGUAUCGACCCCUUCCGUGCCGGAGCUAACGCAAUAAGCAUCCCGCCUGGGGAGUACGACCGCAAGGUUGAAACUCAAAGGAAUUGACGGGGGCCCGCACAAGCAGCGGAGCGUGUGGUUUAAUUCGAAGCAACGCGAAGAACCUUACCAAGGCUUGACAUCC